CUUCAACACCUACGAGCAGUGGUGACCAUGUGGCCAUGGUGCAGCCUCAGGGGAGGCUGUUCCAACCAGGCUGGGAAGGGCAGGCAGGUCAGGUGGCCACAGAGCCCUGACUCUGGUGCUCUGCUUCCUUUUUUGUACAGGUGUCACAGGAGAAGGCAGUGGAGCAAGAGGAGGAGCUGGAAUGUCAACCAGAGCACAAUGCUGUGUGCCCCAAACAGGGGACAAACCUCAACAAUUGUGUGGAGGAGAACACAAAACAGGAGGAGGAGGAACAACAAGUGAAGGAGGAGGAGCAGCAAAAGGAGGAGGAGCAGAAGGAAGAGAAGGAGGAGGACGUGGAAGGAGUGGAGGAGGAAGAAAAACAUGUGCAUGAGAAGGAAGAGGGAUCCUGCAGAGCAGAGCCCCACACACACCGAACAGCCUCCAGUUGAAGAGGCUGUGGUCAAGUGGCCCCCAGAACCCCAGCUGCAUGAGAAUGAGAAUCUGCACAGGGCCCUGGCUUGGGCCUUCAUCCCUGAGUACAGUGAUUUCUGCUUUGGAACAACGCUGAGGAGUAGGAAACCAUAGAACCCAAUGCUCUGUGCCCUCUUUUCCCCCAUUCAGUCCCUGCUUCCCUACCCGUCCUCUCCUGAUUCUUUUCCUGCCAUGUCUAGAGGAGCAAGAAAAACCCCACCAAUUUAUCUCUUCCUAGAGAUAUUUGAACUCCAACAGUUCUUUAAAAUAUCAAAAAAUGUGCAUUUAUUUGAAUAUAAAUGAAAAAAAUGAGAAAAAUAUUUCAAUAAAAAUUUUUAAUGUUUUAAAUUUUAAAAAAUCUUUUUUAUAGAGUAAAACAAGAUAAAUAAUGAAACAGUUUCAAAACAGGUUAGUAGGAGUGUGACAAUACUUGAAAUACUGCAUGCUGUUGUCUUUGUGGUAAUUAUUUGGAAUGCAGGAUGUAGGCAUGUUAUUGCAUCUAAACAAUAUUAGCACAAGACGUAGCCCCUUGACUUCUGGGAGAACAUGGCAGACAAAUAACAGCAGCCACAGAGGCUCUCUGAGAUUACCAGUUUAGAAUCCAGGAGCAGUGCCGUGUGAGGAGUCCUACGCGAGGGGAGAUGUACCCUGCUGACCCAGGAACGAACUAAGCUGAGAGAAACCAACUGGAAAUGCAAUCCUGAUGGUAUAACAGGAACAGAUAAAAUCUCAGUGCGGAAGCUGGAUCCCGCACCAUUGGAAGCCGCGAUUUGAAUUUCCUGCUGCCGAUACUGCAUCCCAAUCCAUAUGGCAGGGAGAGAGACGUGCAAAAGCUCUGGGAGCUGGAAUCGGCAAACCAAAUGGCAUUGAAAGCGGGACUGGCAGGGAGCCCUGCAUUGACCUGUGGUGAGUGAGAGAAAUGGGGACCCUUUCAUAGACUAGGAGGCUCCAAAAGAGGACAUUCUGGGAAUGAGCAGACUAGCCGGAACAGGGCCCUGUAGUGACUUUAGUCGCAUAUUCCCCUCUCAAGUGGGAGUGGUGGGGAGCACUUGGCCUGGUGACACCGCAGACUAAGAUCCAGUAGGUUAGCCCAAAUCAGGUCCCUGCACCUGGUGGUGCACCCUAGCAGUGAAGCAUUCAGUAGGUUGACCUGGAGGGGUGGGCCCAGAAGAGGCUGCCCAGGUCUGUGUAUCCCUAGUACACUGCAGUGGGAGGGAACACCUAGCCAGCAGAUUCAAACAAACUGUAACAGACAAAGAGAGAGAAAACAAAACAAAACAAAACUGGGCCUCCUACAGAUACUUGUAUGGAAAGAACAAAAAGUAUGGGAAAAGGGAGCAACAAGAAAGGGUCCUCAGUCCCCAAUCCUGAGAACACUGAUCCAGGAAAGGUAAAUGCAAAAGAGAAUGAAGAUAGCAAACAUGCAGUAUCAGAUAUGGCACCUAAAGACAUAAAGUGGUAUCUCCGGAGCCUCAUAGAUGAGUUCAAAUGAAGUAUUUAAUGAAAUAAAGCAAGAAAUAAGUAGAAUAGUUAGAGAAAUGCUAAGCACCGCCCAAGAAAACACAGAUGGUGGAAUGGAAGAACAGAAAAAAAGGGGAGAAUUGUUUGAUGGAGAAAAUAGAGAAAACAUAGAAUACGUGAAGCAGGUUCAAAGAGAUUACCAGGAAACUAAAAACUCUAUUGAAUGCUGGCAUAACAGCUUGAAAGAAACUAAGGAUAGAUUAUCAGAACUGGAGGACAGAUUUGUAAGGUGGGAGCAUGAAAUGAAAAACUUCUUCAAAAUAACAAGAAAACAAACAGCGAUAAUACAAAGACUAGAAGAUGAUAAGAGGAUCUAUAACUUAUGAAUUAAGAACAUAAAAGAAGAAGCAGGGACUCAAACAAAUGAACUACAAAAGCUAUUCACAGAAAUAAUCCAGGAGAAUAUCCCUAAUUUAGCAAAAGGUAAAGAUACUCAGAUGUAUGAGGCAUACAGGAUCCCAGCCACCUACAACCCAAACCGAGCUACACUCAGGCAUAUAAUAAUCAAAAUUCCAGAAAUCCAAUAUAAGAACAGAAUAUUAAAAGCCAUCAGAGACAAGAAACAGAUCACUUACAAGGGAACACCCAUCAGAAUUACAGCAGACUUCUUGGCACAAACCAUGAAAUCAUGAAGAGCGUGGGGGGAAAUAAUUCAAGCUUUGAAAGACAAUAACCUCCAGCCAAGAUUGAUAUAUCCUGCACGACUGUCCCUAGAAAUUGAUGGAAAAACAAGGUGCUUCCAGGAUAAAGAGGAACUAGGGGAAUUUGCAACCACCAAUUCAACUCUACAGAGAUUAUUGCAGGAUAUUCUAGAAAUGAAAAAUACCAAGAUUCCAGGAACAGUGACAGAGAGGCCACAAUGAAUGGAGCAGAAAGCAAAAUGAAGAGGACAAACUGACAACUAAUGACAGAAAAAGAGCUCAACAGAAAUGAGGCAGAGAAGGUUGGAUGGUAGGAACAGCCAUUUUGGAGAAAACAAGACAUCACAAUAGGUAGUGCUGAUUUAAUAUCCUCUUGUUUUGAAGUCUCAUCAAACUUUUGUUCUUCUGUCUCCAUCAGUUUUAACGUGUUGUAUCUUGUCGGAUUUUAUUAUAUGUGAUAAUAUAAACAACUUUUGUAGACAGGGAGAUUACACAGAAACCACUGUUUAGUUUCUGUUAGUUGAUUCUAAAUACCCUGUAAUACUGUCAUUCUCUUGAACGGUUUUACAUUGUCUUGAUAUGUUUGAUGCUACAGUAUACGAAGUUAUACCCAAAGAUUUUAAGGAAAGAGACACUAUGGCAACUACUAUUAUGUCGAGAUUAUCUUGUGGUGAAACACUAUUUUGCUUAAAUGGCUAUGUGCUGUUUUGUUGUUAUGCCCUCUUUUUUUUUUAUCUCAAUCUCCUUUUUAUUAUGUACUUUUUCAUUUUUAUCCUUUUAAUUAAGGGAAAAAUAAAUAAAAAAUAGCAGGAUAUAUUAUAGUAACCCACUUUGAUUUCCUAUUAACUUGAUUUGAAACUCUGUAUUGCUCUCACCAUCUUGUUUUGACUGAUAUGCCUCUAUUCUGUUAUGCUUGAUAGUACCAAGUUUGAAAGUCUAGGCAACAACUAUGAAGACAAUAAGAUUCAUUGUGAUGCCCAUUCUGGUUGACUAUUAUCUUCUUUUGAAGUCCUCUAAUGUCUCCAAUGUUUUGGUUUUAUUGGUCUUAUUCUUUACUGUUUUGUUCAAUUUUAUUAUAACUGAUGAUAUAGGCAAUUCUUUGUGAGAUAACAAGAGGCAUUAUGGUAACCAUUGUUGAUCACCUUGUAUUUUGUUUUUACAUUAUGUAUUAUGUCCAUCCUUUUGAUUUGACUGACUCUGUCCUGGUAUGUCACAUUUGGUUUUACUUUCUUCAAAAAAAAAAGUAAUAAGAACUGUGGGAGCAGUGAAACCCAAUAUGUGUAAUUGUCAUUGUACGGAAGAAGGGAGGGAAGAGUUCUCUGGGAGAUAUAACUGCAUGUAUGUUUGGGUGUGUAGGAUGGAUAACCAUAUUGCUGAGUUUUGUUGGAUCAUUGAACAAAACUGUUUGCAGUCUCACUGUUUGAAGGUCCCCUCUGUAUGCUUUAAUUUUGUAACUUCAACAACUAUUUCUAAGAUGACAAUAUGUAAUUAACUAGUGAUUUCCUGUUUAUUUUUUCUGAAAUUCUGUAUAACUUGUACCCUUUUU
Molecule: long non-coding RNA, 4161 nt
Organism: Cavia porcellus (domestic guinea pig)
Lineage: Eukaryota; Metazoa; Chordata; Mammalia; Rodentia; Caviidae
Exons: 3
Source: RefSeq, a predicted model, not a curated record